ACUCAUUUGAGGACGUAAUUCAUAGGUACAAAUUGUAACACCAUGAUGAUGCGAAGGUGUCCAUUCACCUUUUAAUCCGAUAUAAUAAAUUUUUAUUUUAUCUGUUCUUUCAGUACCAGUAAAGUACAAACUUAAAUGAUGUACAGAUGAGAAUUUAACCACCCUACAGUAAAAAUUGUAUUAAUUUUUAUAUUAUUAUAAUUCUUUAUGUAAUGCUUAGUAACAUAAUAAAACAUACAUACUUAAGAGAAUAUUCAUGUACUCCCAUUGUGUCUACACAUAAUUCAAAUUCUUGUUCAGGUUAAACUUUGUUUCUAGACAUUCAAACUCAGGGGUAUUUACAAUUUUACUUUAUCUGGAUACAAAUCAUCUUCUCCUCCAAUAAUAACAAGGCCUUUUAAUUUUAUAUUUCCUGUAAACCUGAAAAAGAUGACAAUAUGUAUGUAUCCUUACAAAUAGUACGUUCAAAUAGCAAACAUACGGAAUGUUAAAUAGAAGUUCAUUAUCCAUAUCACUUUCAACAUACUGAAAAAGAAAAGUAAAUUGUAAUGUAAAAUUAUAAUUAUAUUUUGAAAGAUAUUUUUAUUAAAUGUUUAAAUAUAUAAACAAAUAAUUACUUUAUUUCUGUCCAGUCUAUUUUCCCAUGGUUUAAAUACAGUAGCUCCAGUAGCUUCUUCAAAUUCAUUUAAACAUUCUAUAUUUUCUACAUCAAUUUUUUGAUAUAAAUUAUAUUGUACACCUAAUUCUGCAUCAUUGUGUGUAACACCACAAUUACAUUGGUGAGGCAUUGUAAAACAAUCUGCAAACAUUUGUAUUAACAUUUAAUAUGAACUACAUAAAUAAUUAAAGUAAACAAAAUUGUUAUCCAGUAAACAAAAUU
This 880-nucleotide unclassified non-coding RNA is filed under the name Bombus terrestris (buff-tailed bumblebee). RNAcentral describes it as "misc RNA ENSBTSG00005023863.1". Lineage: Eukaryota; Metazoa; Arthropoda; Insecta; Hymenoptera; Apidae. The record is from RNAcentral.